GGCAAGUUCCUACGCAGGUUUAGGUUGCAUGAGAAUGCCAAGAUUGAUCAGGUGAAGGCUGCCAUGGAUAAUGGAGUGCUCACUGUUACUAUGCCCAAGGAAGAAGUGAAGAAGCCAGAGGUGAAGGCCAUUGAAAUCUCUGGCUAGAAGUUCUCUCUUUAGUUUAGGAUGGUAU
This is a long non-coding RNA of Telopea speciosissima, 175 nucleotides long. RefSeq lists it as uncharacterized. The transcript has 3 exons. The record is from RefSeq and is a predicted model, not a curated record. Lineage: Eukaryota; Viridiplantae; Streptophyta; Magnoliopsida; Proteales; Proteaceae.